CGUGUAGGCGGCUUGAUAAGUCAGAGGUGAAAUCCUGGAGCUCAACUCCAGAACUGCCUUUGAUACUGAGGAUCUUGAGUUCGGGAGAGGUGAGUGGAACUGCGAGUGUAGAGGUGAAAUUCGUAGAUAUUCGCAAGAACACCAGUGGCGAAGGCGGCUCACUGGCCCGAUACUGACGCUGAGGCACGAAAGCGUGGGAGCAAACA
This 206-nucleotide ribosomal RNA is filed under the name uncultured bacterium. RNAcentral describes it as "partial 16S ribosomal RNA". It matches the Rfam family "Bacterial small subunit ribosomal RNA", at positions 568 to 774 of the family's 1533-position model. The record is from RNAcentral.